This 254-nucleotide ribosomal RNA is filed under the name uncultured bacterium. Its description in RNAcentral is "partial 16S ribosomal RNA". It matches the Rfam family "Bacterial small subunit ribosomal RNA", at positions 524 to 776 of the family's 1533-position model. The record is from RNAcentral.
UACGUAGGGGGCUAGCGUUGUCCGGAUUUAUUGGGCGUAAAGAGCUCGUAGGUGGUUCGGUAAGUCGGAUGUGAAAUCUCCAGGCUCAACCUGGAGGGGUCAUUCGAUACUGCCGUGACUAGAGUUCGGUAGAGGAGUGUGGAAUUCCAGGUGUAGCGGUGAAAUGCGUAGAUAUCUGGAGGAACACCGGUGGCGAAGGCGGCAUCCUGGACCGACACUGACGCUGAGGAGCGAAAGCCAGGGGAGCAAACGGG